UACAGAGGUGGCAAGCGUUGUUCGGAAUUACUGGGCGUAAAGGGCGCGUAGGCGGCUCGUUAAGUCCUGCGUGAAAUCCCUCGGCUCAACUGGGGAACUGCACAGGAAACUAGCGGGCUUGAGUUCGGGAGAGGGAAGCGGAAUUCCGGGUGUAGCGGUGAAAUGCGUAGAUAUCCGGAGGAACACCGGUGGCGAAGGCGGCUUCCUGGACCGACACUGACGCUGAGGCGCGAAAGCUAGGGGAGCAAACGGG
RNAcentral lists this ribosomal RNA (253 nucleotides) under uncultured bacterium. RNAcentral's name for it is "partial 16S ribosomal RNA". It matches the Rfam family "Bacterial small subunit ribosomal RNA", at positions 524 to 776 of the family's 1533-position model. The record is from RNAcentral.